RNAcentral lists this ribosomal RNA (280 nucleotides) under uncultured prokaryote. RNAcentral describes it as "partial 16S ribosomal RNA". It matches the Rfam family "Bacterial small subunit ribosomal RNA", at positions 524 to 800 of the family's 1533-position model. The record is from RNAcentral.
CACGGGGGUUGCGAGUGUUGUCCGGAAUUACUAGGCGUAAAGGGCAGGCAGGCGGAUCCAUAAGUUUAUCGUUUAAAGGUCGUCGGCUUAACCGGCGUAGGGCGGUAGAUACUGUGGAUCUGGAAUGCGGUUGGGGAAGACAGAAUUCCUGGUGUAGCGGUGGAAUGCGCAGAGAUCAGGAGGAAUACCGAAGGCGAGGGCAGUCUUCCAAGCCGUUAUUGACGCUCAACUGCGAAGGUGUGGGUAUCAAACAGGAUUAGGAUACCCUGGUAGUCCCUGA